This is a long non-coding RNA of Felis catus (domestic cat), 567 nucleotides long. RefSeq lists it as uncharacterized. The transcript is spliced from 2 exons. NCBI's taxonomy places the organism in Eukaryota, Metazoa, Chordata, Mammalia, Carnivora, Felidae. The record is from RefSeq and is a predicted model, not a curated record.
AGGAUCAGCUACAUCAAACCAUAAAAGAACCAAAGGAGUAUCUUUCAUCUUAACACUAGGCUCUGGAUCAUUAAAAAACCAGACCAAGAGAAAAGGGGGUUGAUUUUAUACAAGGGGCACCAGGUAUUAGCAACACAAAGCCAGUCCCCAAACUUCCCCCAGGAAGGCUGUGCUGGGGUUUUAUGAAUUUGAGAGAGAAUGCUACUACAUGAAGGCAGUGAGUGAAAGGAGAAAAGCCAGGGAAAUAAUUCUCAAGGUUAUACUUGUUCGGUCAACAAUCUAUCUCAGUCUCUAAAUUCUCCUUCAGCAGCCGCUCUGCUUCCACGGGAACUCCUUUCACCAGCUUCCAGCUUUGAGGUCAACGCCAGCUGCCAGACUCAGGGCAAUUAUUGAGCCACUCACGCUGAUCAUCAAGAUACCCAAAUGGAUACCUCUGCCAUCGCUCACUCAUGUGUCACAGCAUUCCCAGCCACCUUUCUAAAUGGCACCGCUCUACCUAUAUUGACCCAAAGAAAGAGAAGAGGAUGAAGUAGUGGUAGUGAACAGAAUAAAUCCCAUUUACCAAGG